GGGGAUGUAUUGGCAUUCGACAGGAUGAUACAAGAAUGCUGUAAUUGCAAUCAGGGGAUUGUACUGUCUCCCCUUAUAUCCGUCAGUACACUAUAGAUGCUAACAAUGAAUUUGUAGCUAAAGCAGCUGCUAGAGUUCGUGCACUACAAUUUGGUAACAAAUUGGCACCUUCAAUGGCAACUGUCUAGUCUGAACAAUUUUCGGACUUCGUUUACUAAGCUGACACCUGAUGGGCUUAUGUAGGCGUAAUUUAUCAGGUUAGGGUAAAGUAAAUUUCUUCGUUACUUUGUCCGAAACUUUUGAAGAUAUGUGGAUCGCGUUUUUUGUUCCUUCUCAAUGCGUUUCGCUGAAAAUUUUAAAAGGAACUAUGAUUGUAGACGUUGCAGGUUCUCAUCUCUGGACCCGGGUUCAACUCCCGGCAUCUCCACCA
This 430-nucleotide transfer-messenger RNA is filed under the name Patescibacteria group. RNAcentral's name for it is "WJKE01 sp014729275 Standard tmRNA". It matches the Rfam family "transfer-messenger RNA". Rfam says of the family: Bacterial tmRNA, also known as 10Sa RNA or SsrA, is named for its dual tRNA and mRNA-like properties. The record is from RNAcentral. RNAcentral also lists the same sequence under 1 other name.